Molecule: ribosomal RNA, 231 nt
Filed under: uncultured bacterium
Lineage: Bacteria
Description: partial 16S ribosomal RNA
Rfam family: Bacterial small subunit ribosomal RNA
Source: RNAcentral
GCAAGUCGAACGCGAACCUUCGGGUUCGAGUGGCGGACGGGUGAGUAACACGUGGGUUACCUACCCUGAGGUGGGGGACAACCAAGGGAAACUUUGGCUAAUACCGCAUAUGGUCUACGGAUCAAAGCCUUCGGGCGCCUUGGGAUGGGCCCGCGGCCCAUUAUUUAAUCCUUGUUGGUGGGGUAACGGCCUACCAAGGGUACGAUGGGUAGCUGGUCUGAGAGGAUGAUC